CCCAUUGGCUUCUGGCUUGCGAUGGCAGCGGACCAAUAGCAGUGAAUUGAAGGCGGUGCCUUGUGAAUCUCGCCUGGCUGCACGCGCAGGGGAGUGGGGGCGUGGCAUUUUUUUGAGGAAAAAAAGCUAAACAAUCUUUAAUAUUUCAAAUUGACUGUGUCGGCUUUUUAAGUUGUCUCGGCUGGUGGAGAAGUCCAUACCUUAGAAUAGUGGUAACACACGGGGAUCCACUCAAGACAGGCCUGAAUGUAUUUUCUUCCAAAUUUCUGGACGAAAAGGUAUAGAAAGCGGGUAAUCUUUCUUUAGUCACCACUCCGGUCAGACGAUGAAUUCUAAACGUUUGCUUGACAUGUCUCCGGCUGAAAUACUGGUCGGGGGCGCUUCGAAACAAGCCGGUAUUGACCAGCAUGCAGAGGGUUCCAAGGGAAGCGAAAUGAGUGUCACCACUACUGACAGCGGUGUCAUUCUGGCGUGCGGGAGCGGGCCCGCAUCAGGAGCAGUUUUCUGCACAUUCGUGCUAGACGAUGGCACUUUGAGAGAAUGUACAAACCAGGACAUUAUCCUCAAUGGGAAUGACCUGUCGUCAGGGAAAGAAAAAUACGCGCACCGGAAAAUAAUGGGUUGUGGUGGCGAGGCAGAUGAGAGGAACAGUGGUCUGACUGGGGUCCUUACUAACGGCAGUCCCACUCACUGCCUGAUCCUGAACGGGCAGAAGCCGGACAGACACAUGCACUCGAAAGUGAGGAAUCCGCUGGUGCCCGAUGGUUUCCAGGAAACCGGACAUCAAGUGCCACCUGAGGAGAGAAAUUCCCACCCCUCCUCCCACAUACCUGUCCCCCGACGCAGGCAGAAACUCAAACAGGAAGUACCCGUGCUAAGGACUAUUCAACACUGGUCUGACCAAUCGGAAUCCACAAUUCAAGAUUGUUUUCAUCACGCAGACUGGGAUAUGUUCCGGGUAGCCUCAGAUAAUAACAUAGAAGUAUACUCUGAUUCGGUGAGUGAGUUUAUAAGGAAGUGUAUAGGGGAAGUUUGUCCCACUGUGACUUUUAAAACCUACCCCCAGAAACCAUGGAUAGAUGGCAGCAUUCGCGCAAAACUGAAAGCGCAUACCACUGCAUUUAACCAUAGCAGGUCGACUGGGAAUAUGGCCAAAUACAAACAGAGUAGUCAUUCCCUCCGCAAGGCAAUCAAAGAAGCAAAAUGUCAGUAUAGAGACAAAGUGUAGUCGUAAUUCAACGGCUCAGACACGGACAUAUGUGGCAGAGUCUACAGACAAUCACGGACUUCAAAAGGAAAACCAGCCACGUCGUGGACACAGACGUCUUGCUUCCAGACAAACUAAACACCUUCUUUGCCCACUUUGAGGAUAUUACAGUGCCACCGAUGCGGCCCGCU
Molecule: long non-coding RNA, 1398 nt
Filed under: Salmo salar (Atlantic salmon)
Lineage: Eukaryota; Metazoa; Chordata; Actinopteri; Salmoniformes; Salmonidae
Description: lncRNA (ENSSSAG00000113193.1, ENSSSAG00000118336.1)
Source: RNAcentral